Molecule: ribosomal RNA, 253 nt
Filed under: uncultured bacterium
Lineage: Bacteria
Description: partial 16S ribosomal RNA
Rfam family: Bacterial small subunit ribosomal RNA
Source: RNAcentral
UACGUAGGGGGCAAGCGUUGUCCGGAUUUAUUGGGCGUAAAGAGCGUGUAGGCGGCCAGGUAGGUCGGUUGUGAAAACUGGAGGCUUAACCUCCAGACGUCGACCGAAACCCCCUGGCUAGAGUCCGGAAGAGGAGAGUGGAAUUCCUGGUGUAGCGGUGAAAUGCGCAGAUAUCAGGAAGAACACCCGUGGCGAAAGCGGCUCUCUGGGACGGUACUGACGCUGAGACGCGAAAGCGUGGGGAGCGAACAGG